Mizuhopecten yessoensis (Yesso scallop) is the source of this 1040-nucleotide long non-coding RNA. RefSeq lists it as uncharacterized. NCBI's taxonomy places the organism in Eukaryota, Metazoa, Mollusca, Bivalvia, Pectinida, Pectinidae. The record is from RefSeq and is a predicted model, not a curated record. The transcript has 3 exons.
UUCAAACGUGAUCCUUGAGGGCGACAGUCGUAUUUCAUAUGAAGUUUGUUAAGUGGAACAAAAUUUCGUUCAGAGAAGCAGAUUAAGAGCAAAUCUCUCAAAACACAAGAAUGUUUGACCUACAUGCGAAAGUGUUUCACACUAUCCGGUCUCACUUCAGGUUGUUUCCUUUCCUGGUAGGAUUGGUGACUGGGGUAGCCCUAUAUUUAUUUAUGGAUUAUACUUACCAAGAUGCAGCCUUACGUCACAAGCUGAAACUUAUGCAAAAUGAAUUGGGAAAUACAGGCAAUCAGAUGGAGAAGGCUGAAUCAGAUAGCAAUUUUGAGGGAAAGUAUCAAAACCAAGUAUCGGGAACAGAAACAAAAUUCGGCUUAACUUCAGUUGUCGUGAAGUAUAUACAACAGUAUAUGUUAAUGCAUUAUAAGACUUUUGUUUAUAUUUAUAACACGUUUUGGCAGAUCUUUUAAAACAAAAUUAAAAUUGUAGAUACGACCAGUGGAAAAUUCUACGCAGUUGUUUUAUCUAAUAUUAAAACGAAGGUGAUUUUUACAUAUUGAUUCAUAGUUUUAAACUGUCAAAUAUUACACAGCUGUAAAUAUUGCAUUUUAUCAUUUAUUGUAUCCUGACUAUUUGUAAGACGAGCUUCGUGCUCAAUAUGUAACCAAGAAUAAAUAAAGCCUAUUAUUAUUGUAAGUAGUAGUAACUGUUGUACACGGUCUCUAGAGGGAGUCUAUGGUACGAAUAGCCCCGGUUCCUUGAUCGCUGAGGGGAUAUGCUUCGAAAUUUUUACUUGUUUUUUUACUUUUUGCGAAAAGUUAUUGUUUAAAUUAUGUAUUGUUAAAAACGGCGGAUUGCCUCGAAAAUUCUUACAAAUUCACUGUCCGUAUUGUAGCUAUAUAUUCUCUGCUCGAGAAGAAUAUUGUUAUUUUACCAUACUUAACGAAACUUCUAUUGUAUUCGACAUGAAAACAAUUAUAUUUCCUAUCUAUUACAUCACUGCAUCAAAAAAAAGUGUGGGAAUGAGUAGUGUCAUUACUUAC